GACGAACGCUGGCGGCGUGCUUAACACAUGCAAGUCGAACGGAAAGGCCCUGCUUUUGUGGGGUGCUCGAGUGGCGAACGGGUGAGUAACACGUGAGUAACCUGCCCUUGACUUUGGGAUAACUUCAGGAAACUGGGGCUAAUACCGGAUAGGAGCUCCUGCUGCAUGGUGGGGGUUGGAAAGUUUCGGCGGUUGGGGCUGGACUCGCGGCUUAUCAGCUUGUUGGUGGGGUAGUGGCUUACCAAGGCUUUGACGGGUAGCCGGCCUGAGAGGGUGACCGGCCACAUUGGGACUGGGAUACGGCCCAGACUCCUACGGGGGGCAGAAGUGGGGAAUAUUGCACAAUGGGCGGAAGCCUGAUGCAGCAACGCCGCGUGCGGGAUGACGGCCGUCGGGUUGUAAACCGCUUUCGCCUGUGACGAAGCGUGAGUGACGGUAAUGGGUAAAGAAGCACCGGCUAGCUACGUG
This 468-nucleotide ribosomal RNA is filed under the name uncultured bacterium. Its description in RNAcentral is "partial 16S ribosomal RNA". It matches the Rfam family "Bacterial small subunit ribosomal RNA", at positions 28 to 507 of the family's 1533-position model. The record is from RNAcentral.